This 235-nucleotide unclassified non-coding RNA is filed under the name uncultured fungus. RNAcentral describes it as "sequence contains ITS1". The record is from RNAcentral. Lineage: Eukaryota; Fungi.
GUUUUGUUUGCACAUUAUGCAAAAUAUACAUUCCUUUACAUUCAGAGUGUGUGAAAAAUACUCGAGCGCCAGUCUGACCAAAGUCAAACUCCCAAACCAGGGUAAGGCACUCAGAGUCAAAUAUGCACAGGUGUGUGGAUUUGCGACCCCAACGUGCACAUGUGUGACCACCAGCACUGGAAGGGCCGACUUUGAAGAUUCGUUAAUGAUCCUUCCGCAGGUUCACCUACGGAAA